CAUUAUUUUUAUUCAGAGUUUAACUGAAACCCUUGACCUGAAAAAUCAAUGUUGUAUUCAACUAUAAAAACUA
This 73-nucleotide transfer RNA is filed under the name Ambystoma andersoni (Anderson's salamander). RNAcentral describes it as "tRNA-Glu". Lineage: Eukaryota; Metazoa; Chordata; Amphibia; Caudata; Ambystomatidae. The record is from RNAcentral.